AUGCAAGUCGAGUGCGCGGUUGUAGCAAUACAACUGGCGCACGGCGCACGGGUGCGUAACACGUGGGCAAUCUGCCCUCCGAUGGGGAAUAACCCCGCGAAAGCGGGGCUAAUUCCGCAUAACAUUCCCUGGACUCCGGUUCGGGGAUUCAAAGCAGCAAUGCGUCGGAGGAGGAGCCCGCGCCCGAUUAGCUAGUUGGUAGGGUAACGGCCUACCAAGGCUUUGAUCGGUAGCUGGUCUGAGAGGAUGGCCAGCCACACUGGAACUGAGACACGGUCCAGACUCCUACGGGAGGCAGCAGUGGGGAAUCUUGCGCAAUGGGCGAAAGCCUGACGCAGCGACGCCGCGUGGGGGAUGAAGCUUCUCGGAGUGUAAACCCCUUUCGACUGGGACGAAUGCCUCGCAAGAGGAGUGACGGUACCAGUAGAAGAAGCCCCGGCUAACUACGUGCCAGCAGCCGCGGUAAGACGUAGGGGGCCAGCGUUGUUCGGAAUUACUGGGUGUAAAGGGUUCGUAGGCGGUGUGGCAAGUCGGGAGUGAAAUUUCUGGGCUUAACCCAGAACCUGCUUCCGAAACUGCUGUGCUCGAGUGUGGGAGAGGCGCGUG
RNAcentral lists this ribosomal RNA (606 nucleotides) under uncultured soil bacterium. RNAcentral describes it as "bacterial SSU rRNA". It matches the Rfam family "Bacterial small subunit ribosomal RNA", at positions 55 to 663 of the family's 1533-position model. The record is from RNAcentral.